UCCUCACUAAUUCGCAGGUGGCAGCUGCGUUUCAGCGGGAUGACGGUAUGAGAGGCUGGUUGAUAGGAGACAACAAGUAUCCACUGAAGUGGCGGCUACUUUCACCACUACUCAACCCCAAGACCCCUGUCGAAGCUCUCCAAAAUGGAUGUUGGACUUCCAGAGGAAAGAGUACAGGGUUUGAGGGAAGCAGAUGCUGAACUUGAAGCACCAGUGUUGGAGGUUGCAGAUGCUGCAAGUUCCAGGCAGGAGCCAGCAGGUGCAUUCUUGCACAGCAGCUGUGUCUUAGCUGCAGGAGCCACCAGCUAUCUGCUUCAGUGUAGCUGGCAGCCAAGAAGAAACAAAUGUUUUUUCUUCCAUUUGUCCACUUGCCUGAUCGUUGUCUCCCAGUCCAGUAAACUGCUAUCCCACCUCUCUGCGUUUGUCAGUAAAGAGUCACAAUUACACUGGAAAACAUUUAACGCUUCCAGGGCAUUGCACAAGGACAUGACAUGACCCAAGGAGGCAAAGUAAAAUUUCUCUGAUAUAGUGCAUCAGCAAUAAAAAUCUAAUGGCCUGUGUAGUGCUAGUUAUAUACUCACUGUCAAUACAUGUAAAAAGUCAAAUUAAAAACUGGCAAUCUGAGGUCCAGGAAUACAGAUAGAUGCCUCUAGAAGCUGGCUUGAAUAGCAAACAUACAAGAAAGUAUGGUAUUCUACACAUUUCAUAGACAAAAUUUAAAAAUUCUCUGUCCUAGAAACAAACAAAUAUGUAUCCCCUGGCAAAGGCUUACACAAUAAUUAUAAACAAUUUUAAGACCCUGGACAUUGUGUUCGUGUGGAGUGAUCUACAUGGAUAGUAUGUUCAAUAAGAUAUUGUAGCAAAUAUCAGUGAAAAUUCAGGCAAACUAGAUGUAGCCAGAAUCCAGCUUAAGAAUGUAAUAUUCUAAGAACAUCAAGAAUAUCCAGUAAUUAAUUUAUAUACAGUUUCAUCAUAAUUUGAUGAGUAGUUCUGAAGCUAUAGCCCAGUGUAGGUAUUCUUCACAUUUUGCUAUGACCAACUGAUAGCUAACAGACCAAGGAAUUAUAUAUUAUACCAUUGACCACUUCACAUGUCAAAUGGUUCAACUCUGUUGCACAUAACUACCUCAUGAUUAUAUGCCUAGGUAACUGAGUGAGGUUGGGUGCGUA
This is a long non-coding RNA of Polyodon spathula (Mississippi paddlefish), 1169 nucleotides long. RefSeq lists it as uncharacterized. Lineage: Eukaryota; Metazoa; Chordata; Actinopteri; Acipenseriformes; Polyodontidae. The record is from RefSeq and is a predicted model, not a curated record. The transcript is spliced from 3 exons.